CAGCCGCCGCGGUAAUACCGGCGGCCCGAGUGGCGGUCACUAUUAUUGGGCUUAAAGCGUCCGUAGCCGGGUUGGGAAGUCCUCCGGGAAAUCUGGCCGCUUAACGGUCAGAAUGCCGGAGGAUACUCCCAGCCUAGGGAGCGGGAGAGGCCGAGGGUAUUCCCGGGGUAGGGGUGAAAUCCUAUAAUCCCGGGAGGGCCACCUGUGGCGAAGGCGCUCGGCUGGAACGCGUCCGACGGUGAGGGACGAAGGCCAGGGGAGCAAACCGGAUUAGAUACCCGGGUAGUCCUGGCGGUAAACGAUGCGGACUUUGUGUCGGACAAGCUAUGAGCUUGUCCGGUGCCGGAGGGAAACCGUUAAGUCCGCCGCCUGGGGAGUACGGCCGCAAGGCUGAAACUUAAAGGAAUUGGCGGG
RNAcentral lists this ribosomal RNA (414 nucleotides) under uncultured microorganism. Its description in RNAcentral is "bacterial SSU rRNA". It matches the Rfam family "Archaeal small subunit ribosomal RNA", at positions 459 to 872 of the family's 1478-position model. The record is from RNAcentral.